GAGGAAGUAAAAGUCGUAACAAGGUUUCCGUAGGUGAACCUGCGGAAGGAUCAUUAUUGAAAUAAACCUGAUGGGGUUGUUGCUGGCUCUCUAGGGAGCAUGUGCACACCUUGUCAUCUUUAUAUCUCCACCUGUGCACCUUUUGUAGACAUCUUUCCAGGUGUCUAUGUUGAUUCUUCAUUUACCCCAAUGCAUGUCAAUAGAAUGUUGUGUCUAUAAUAUAUACAACUUUCAGCAACGGAUCUCUUGGCUCUCGCAUCGAUGAAGAACGCAGCGAAAUGCGAUAAGUAAUGUGAAUUGCAGAAUUCAGUGAAUCAUCGAAUCUUUGAACGCACCUUGCGCUCCUUGGUAUUCCGAGGAGCAUGCCUGUUUGAGUGUCAUUAAUAUUAUAUAUCGAACCCUCUUUUUUUGAGUGGUUUGGAUGUGGGGUUGCUGGCCUCUUGAAGGGGUCAGCUUCCCUGAAAUGCAUUAGCAGAACAGCCUGUUCGUUCCAUUGGUGUGAUAACUAUCUACGCUAUUGAAUGAUGAAGGCAAGUUCAGCUUUCUAACCGUCUUUGGACAAUUUAUCAUCUAUAUGUGACCUCAAAUCAGGUAGGACUACCCGCUGAACUUAAGCAUAUCAAUAAGCGGAGGAAAAGAAACUAACAAGGAUUCCCCUAGUAACUGCGAGUGAAGCGGGAAAAGCUCAAAUUUAAAAUCUGGCGGUCUUUUGGCUG
Molecule: ribosomal RNA, 716 nt
Filed under: Cortinarius brunneus
Lineage: Eukaryota; Fungi; Basidiomycota; Agaricomycetes; Agaricales; Cortinariaceae
Description: eukaryotic LSU rRNA
Rfam family: 5.8S ribosomal RNA (bases 227-380)
Source: RNAcentral